This 72-nucleotide transfer RNA is filed under the name Plutella xylostella (diamondback moth). RNAcentral's name for it is "tRNA-Ser". Lineage: Eukaryota; Metazoa; Arthropoda; Insecta; Lepidoptera; Plutellidae. The record is from RNAcentral.
GUCGACUGGUGUAGUGGUUAAUGACCCUGACUGCUAAUCCGAAGGUACCGGGUUCGAUUCCCGGCUGGGGCA